RNAcentral lists this long non-coding RNA (1868 nucleotides) under Sinocyclocheilus anshuiensis. RNAcentral's name for it is "lncRNA (ENSSANG00000023539.1)". The record is from RNAcentral. Lineage: Eukaryota; Metazoa; Chordata; Actinopteri; Cypriniformes; Cyprinidae.
CAGCGAUCUGACACGCGUGGUUCUUCUGCAGCGGAAAUAUAAACCAAAGGACAACCAUGAAGACCUUGGCAUUGCUGACACUUCUGCUGACCAUGAAUGGUUCUGCAGUGGGACAAAUGAUGAAAUCUAAUAAGACGGGCUUUGUUGGACAGGAUGUACUUUUAUCAUGCAACUGUUCCAAUGACCCCAAAGAACUGAUAUGGCAGAAAGAUCAGAGAGUAGUGAAUGUUCAUCCGCAUGACAAAAGCAUCAUAGAUGAUUCCUACGUAGAUAGGACGCAACUCUUCCUAAACAAGGAGAAGAGAAACUGCUCCCUGCUGCUCCACAACUUCUCUUCAGAAGAUGAAGGACUGUACACCUGUCAUGCCCUAGUCAGUGUUGGUGACAACCUCUGGUCAAAGAGGUCAUCAGAAGUUAAUCUAACAAUGUCUGAAAUGAAGAACGACUCUAAAACAAAUGGCCAAACUGGAGGCAGUUCUGUCACAGCUGUGUCUGUUAGUGUUCCCAUAUUGGUAGUAGUGCUUAUACUGGCAGCUAGCCUGCUUCUAACCCUACUGAUCAGAAGACGACAUCGGACAAACACGGUAAUCAGUCUUUUGUCACUAAAUGACACAAAACAUCAUAGAAAAAUAAAAAAUCUCCACAAACAUUAAAAUAUCUAAAAUACACUAGCCUAAGGGGUUGUUCACACUGGAUGCCCGUUUUUUUUUUUUCAAAUUAAUUUUCUAUGUAAACAUAAACCAUUGCACUGCAUCUUACUGUUUAUUCAGCGUCUCACGGCAUUAGCGUCACAUAUUUGAGACACCAUGUUAAGCUAAAAACAGAUGAACUUAAAAUGUGCUUCAUGACCGUUGCACUCGAUCUUCUUUUAAUUGCAAGAAUAUUACCCUUAAUGACAACGUUUGAGUUUUGCCAUGGUGCACUAAAGAAAUUGAUUUUAUGACCUCUUUAUAUACAUUUCUCCUAUUAUUAUUUCCAUUUGAAUGAACCGUUUUAGUUGUAAAGUAAAACCUCUUUCUGAAGUAGCCAAAUUCCUUGAAUAGUCCUCACGGCAAAAGUAAACCUACACCAGUUGCAGUCACAUAAUUUUAGAGCACAGCUUUAGCGCUUAAGGUCCUGUGUUUGACACGUUUAGUCAUAGUACAUGAAACAUUUCCAAAAAGCUUGACUGUGAUUUCUUUAUUCUUUUUUGCUAUAGGACACUGGUUUACUGGCUGAGAGACCUAUGCUAAGGAAUGUGUGAAGUUCUCUUGCUUGACAGUUUAAUGGACUAACUUCUGUUGUAAUGCAAGGUCCUUCACAACAACAAUGGACAAUACGAGGCCUUAGCCCUAAACAAAUGCGUUUGCAUGUGGGCAUCACAUGGUGCGUGCCGAUCCGUCUCGCUUUGGGACAGAUCAAUGUGCAGUCUUUAGUUGUAACACUGUUUGAUUACCACUGAAUUGUGAAUACACUGUGAAUAUACAUUCUGUAGGCAUUACAGUUGUGUAACUUGACAAGAUUCUCCUUGUAGGAACUGUCUUUAUUCAUUCUUUGAAGAACAUGUAAUAGUAGGGGACGUGCAGUUUAUAUUUUGCCUUUUCCUCUCUCUUUGAGACACAUUGGUGGUCUCAAUCCUAAACAGGCUUUUCAAAUCACCUUAUUUUAUUGUUCAUAUGUGUACAGCAAUCAUUUACUAACACAUCAUGUAAGCUUCUUUACAUUUACUCUUGUAUGGGUUGAUUUCCUCAGCCUGUGCUGAUUUUCAUUUAUGUGGAAGAAAUAUGUGGCACUCCCUAUGGGAUAUGUUUGCUUUUUUACUGUACUAAAUUUCAUUUACUUUUAAAUGAAUUCUGUAAAGUGCUUCAAACCUGCAGAGGCAAUAAACC